This 301-nucleotide ribosomal RNA is filed under the name uncultured bacterium. Its description in RNAcentral is "partial 16S ribosomal RNA". It matches the Rfam family "Bacterial small subunit ribosomal RNA", at positions 509 to 809 of the family's 1533-position model. The record is from RNAcentral.
CAGUAGCCGCGGGAAAACGUAGGGUGCGAGCGUUAAUCGGAAUUACUGGGCGUAAAGCGUGCGCAGGCGGUUGUGUAAGACAGGUGUGAAAUCCCCGGGCUUAACCUGGGAACUGCGCUUGUGACUGCACAGCUAGAGUAUGGCAGAGGGGGGUGGAAUUCCACGUGUAGCAGUGAAAUGCGUAGAGAUGUGGAGGAACACCGAUGGCGAAGGCAGCCCCCUGGGCCAAUACUGACGCCCAUGCACGAAAGCGUGGGGAGCAAACAGGAUUAGAUACCCCAGUAGUCCCUGUCUCUUAUAA